UGAAGUGUUACUUACUCGCAUAUUGUAUGAUUUGGAUCUUUACGAUAGCGACUCCGUCUUACUCCGUCGACGAUCUGGGCUCCUACACUUCUUCGGAUCCCCUCUCUCGGUGCCCAGCGACCGAGAAUCCAGGCAAGCAGCCAUUCCUUGAACAUGUUGUUUAUACCAAUGCCUCUCCCUCAUUCUUGCAUUAAGUUACGUUCUUAGUUCUUGUCACGAUGCCUCUAGGAUUGCAUAGCUUUAGUCAGCUCUACUAAAAAUGCCUGUUGUCUUGUUCCUUAUCCUAUUACCAUGUCACAUGUUGUUUUGCCCUAGUUGGUCAUUAGAAGUCUUGCUUAGAUUGCUCGUCUAGUGUCCUUACUUGGGGUUAUACAACUGCUACAUCCACAUGCUACUUUUCUCUAUUUAAUUGCACUUAUUAAACUGUGACCUGUUAUUACCUGCACAAGGCAACGAUGGGAGGCCGUGCUAACGCAUUGGUGUUUUGUUCCAUUGGCGCCGACCUAAGGACCGAGUUCUCGUUUUCGCCGACCCAAGAAACUUCGUGCUAACCGCUCGUGGGAGAAUAUAUGGGUUCCCCCUCGGCUUAGUACUCGUUUCAUAGCUCUUCUAGGGGCCACAUAGUUCGGGCAUUCCUUUUGGCAUAUCGCAUAUACACUGAUGUUGUGUUUGGAGACUUGUUGUUACUUUGCAUACAUAUAGGACUGCGGCACUAGUCUGGAGUGGUCAUUCUGCGGACACUGAACCACUACCAGCUGUCCACGCAACUCUUGAGUCCGUACGACGCUUCAGCCGAGCUCUCGUUUCGGAUUAGACUCAGUUGGGUGGUCUCCUGGAUUAGUUGUGGGGCUUGGAAACGUCGUGUCGCUCAAUCCUGCCGGCACAUGCUUUUGUGUGUGUUCCAUGCUAGUGGCAUCAAGGGUUGGACGAACGUGUACGGGUAAAUUGGCACACCCUGCAGGGAUAAAUCUUUCGGAAAGCCGCGUCCGCAGUUAUGGACGACUUGGUUGGUCAUUACUUGAUCAUAGAGAACUCAUACCAUUUGAUUAACUUAAUCUCUUAAAACUUGAGUAGUAACUAGCCUGAAUCAUGGAUAUGCUUAAAACUGCUUAAGUGUGAGUGCCUUUGGAUCAUUUCCUCACAAGGGGUUGAGGGGGUGAUAAGAGGUUGUGUUCUGUUUGGUGUUAGUUGAUAGAAGAUCACCUCACUUGGUAGACGCUCCUUAUCUUCUAUCUAGACGAUGUCAUUAGUGUGUCUCUCCAGAUACAUAUCGCUGCUGCAUAACCCACCUUUUACCCAUCCUUGAGACUUGUUGCAUAUCUAGUUCAGAUCUCCCGUAAGUCUUGCGAGUACUUUGUACUCAGUUGCUUUGCAACGUUGUUUUCCCAGAGUUUCCGGAGGAACAGGUGAGUGGUUACUUCGUGGAGUUCGACGACUACAGCUUCGACGUUUAGCCAGAAGAUUCCAGAGCAGGGUU
This 1477-nucleotide long non-coding RNA is filed under the name Brachypodium distachyon (stiff brome). Its description in RNAcentral is "long non-coding RNA (BDIS_LNC002190)". The record is from RNAcentral. Lineage: Eukaryota; Viridiplantae; Streptophyta; Magnoliopsida; Poales; Poaceae.